RNAcentral lists this ribosomal RNA (446 nucleotides) under uncultured bacterium. RNAcentral describes it as "partial 16S ribosomal RNA". It matches the Rfam family "Bacterial small subunit ribosomal RNA", at positions 338 to 795 of the family's 1533-position model. The record is from RNAcentral.
CCUACGGGAGGCAGCAGUCGAGAAUCAUUCACAAUGGGGGAAACCCUGAUGGUGCGACGCCGCGUGGGGGAAUGAAGGUCUUCGGAUGGUAAACCCCUGUCAUGUGGGAGCAAAUUAAAAAGAUAGUACCACAAGAGGAAGAGCCGGCUAACUCUGUGCCAGCAGCCGCGGUAAUACAGAGGUCUCAAGCGUUGUUCGGAAUCACUGGGCGUAAAGCGUGCGUAGGCUGUUUCGUAAGUCGUGUGUGAAAGGCGCGGGCUCAACCCGCGGACGGCACAUGAUACUGGGGAACUAGAGUAAUGGAGGGGGAACCGGAAUUCUCGGUGUAGCAGUGAAAUGCGUAGAUAUCGAGAGGAACACUCGUGGCGAAGGCGGGUUCCUGGACAUUAACUGACGCUGAGGCACGAAGGCCAGGGGAGCGAAAGGGAUUAGAUACCCGUGUAGUC